AAAGAGAGAGUUUUUAAAUUAGAGAUGUGAAUAGAUAAAGAGAGAGGGAGAAGAGAGAGGGAGACUUUAGCUUCGAGAGAGAAAUUCGAGAUUAGAGGGAGUGAGACUGUGAGAGAGAUUUGAGGUUAGAGGGAGUGAGAGAGAUUUGAGGUUAGAGGGAGAGAGAGAGGUGAGAUUAGCGAGAAAGGGGGAAGAGAGAGAGAGAGAGCAUAGGUGAGGGAUAGUAUAAUUAGAGAAAGGGAGAGAUAGAGUUGAGGUUAGUUUAAGAGAUGAAGAGAGGAGGUUAGAGAGAAAAAGAGAGUUUAGGUUUAGAGAGAGAUGAUGAUACAGAGAGAGAUGAGACUAGAGAGUAAAGAGGGGAAAGUAGGUGAUGGAGGUGAAGAGGGAGAAAAAGAGUGGGUCGAGUUAGGAAUUUCAUAACUAU
RNAcentral lists this long non-coding RNA (424 nucleotides) under Ananas comosus (pineapple). RNAcentral's name for it is "long non-coding RNA (ACOM_LNC007101)". Lineage: Eukaryota; Viridiplantae; Streptophyta; Magnoliopsida; Poales; Bromeliaceae. The record is from RNAcentral.